RNAcentral lists this ribosomal RNA (363 nucleotides) under uncultured eukaryote. Its description in RNAcentral is "partial 18S ribosomal RNA". It matches the Rfam family "Eukaryotic small subunit ribosomal RNA", at positions 592 to 976 of the family's 1831-position model. The record is from RNAcentral.
CAAUAGCGUAUACUAAUGUUGUUGCAGUUAAAAAGCUCGUAGUUGAACUUCUGGUAGGAGUGUCCCGGCCUUUUUGUUUUUACAAAUUGUAUGCUGUGUGACAUCUCUGGCCAUCCUUCUUCUUUGUUUAAAGAAGAUCUUUCACUGUAAAAAAAUUAGGGUGUUCAAAGCAAAAGUUUCUUUGGAAUAUAUUAGUAUGGGAUGAUAAGAUAGGCUCCAGAUGCUAUUUUGUUGGUUUGCACAUUUAGAGAAUGAUUAACAGGGACAGUUGGGGGUAUUCGUAUUUACAUGUCAGAGGUGAAAUUCUUGGAUUUUGGAAAGACGAACUACUGCGAAAGCAUUUACCAAGGAUGUUUUCAUUAA